GAUCUGGCUCAGGAUGAACGCUAGCGACAGGCUUAACACAUGCAAGUCGAGGGGCAGCGGGGGGUAGCGAUACCCGCCGGCGACCGGCGCACGGGUGAGUAACGCGUAUGCAACUUGCCUAUUAGAGGGGGAUAACCCGGCGAAAGUCGGACUAAUACCGCAUGAAGCAGGGAUCCCGCAUGGGAAUAUUUGUCUAAAGAAUUUAUUCGCUGAUAGAUAAGGCGAUGCGUUCCCUACUUAAGGUCGAGUU
RNAcentral lists this ribosomal RNA (250 nucleotides) under uncultured bacterium. RNAcentral describes it as "partial 16S ribosomal RNA". It matches the Rfam family "Bacterial small subunit ribosomal RNA", at positions 15 to 256 of the family's 1533-position model. The record is from RNAcentral.